This 5540-nucleotide long non-coding RNA is filed under the name Homo sapiens (human). Its description in RNAcentral is "HSALNT0146020". The record is from RNAcentral. Lineage: Eukaryota; Metazoa; Chordata; Mammalia; Primates; Hominidae.
CUGCCAUUUAGAAAUCCUGGGUUUGGUUUUCCUACACCCCGAACACAAAACCACAAAAUACCAAAGUUGGAGGCAACCUUAGUGAUUAAUAUCCCUCCUCUUACAGAUGAAAAAAAAAAAAGGAACAUGACCUGACCAAGGUUAAUAAUAAUACUGCAAAGGAAGGCUCUUUGGGAUUCACAUGGCCCUGUCAUAGGUGUUUAUAGAAUUUGGUUGUAAUGUGCCCUCUGACUUAUAGGACGAAGAAAAAAAAUCCUUGCAUGUCAACAAUAUGUGCCAUCAAAGUUCUCCAUGCCUCUGUCUGGUUUGAUUCUCACCAUCCUAUGUAGUGGGCAUUAUUUUUUCUCAUUUUACACACAAGGAAAACAAGGCCCGGAAAGGUUAAGUCCAUUCAGUUAGUAAGUGGCAAUCCUGAGCUCAGGCUUCAAUCUUCUGCCUUUUAUUCAAUAUCAUUUCCAAGUCCAUCUCCACUUUGAUUCUCUGGGGAUUGAGGGUAUAGUGGAAAUUAGCCAUAACUUGGGUAGGGCAAGAUAUAUAGGAGCUCUAAAAGUCUCUACCCUAUUCUGGAUGCAGAUACUGUGGGUUGCUAGAAAUUCUAAAGAAAGGAUUCUGAGUUUUAGUGACUCACCUUCAUUGGCAUGUAAAUACUUCCCUCUUAGAACCACUGUAGCUGGAGCAAGGGCCUCAUGGCUGCUAACAUAAUUUGGUGCUGUCAUCUCAGCAGCUGCCUUUCCUUAUCUUAAAUACCACCUCCCAGGAUAGUGUGGCACUGAAAAGCUCAAGCUGUUAGAAUCUGCUGGCUACUCCAAUUCCUGGUUCUGUCGCUUUAGAUGACCUGAGCGAUAUUAUUUAAAUUUCCUGCAUCUCAGUGUUUCCAUCUAUAAAAGGGAGCUAGUUAUAGUACCUUCCUGAGAAGGUAAAGACUAAACGAGGUAAAAAACUUAGGAGAGUAAAGUGCUCAAUAAAUACUAGCUGCUGCUGCAUUUGCUCUUGAGACAACCGAAGGAAUUCUGUCACAGAGCUGAGUUUUCACCAGGAGUACAAAAGGAAUAUGUUCAUAGUUCAUGGACUCGGUGGGCAUGCCAGGGUGACAGGUAUCCAAAAGACAGAAUCACAUACAGUUUACUUCUUUUUUUUUUUUCAGACGGAGUUUCACUGUUGUUGCCCAGGCUGGAGUGCAGUGGCGUGAUUUCAGCUCACGGCUACCUCUGCCUCCCGGGUUCAAGCAAUUCUCCUGCCUCAGCCUCCCAAGUAGCUGGGAUUACAGGUAUGCACCACCAUGCCCGGCUAAUUUUGUAUUUUUUAGUAGAGAUGGGGUUUCUCCAUGCUGGUCAGGCUGGUCUCAAAUUCCCGACUUCAGGUGAUCCGCCCGACUUGACCUCCCAAAGUGCUGGGAUUACAGGUGUGAGCCACCGCACCUGGCCCAGUUUACUUAACUCCGGGGAAUGAUUGCUCGGACCUUAUACAACAAGGGUUAUCUUCAUUUUCUGCCAGUAUCACCCCUCUGCCCCCACCCCCCUCAACAAAGCAGAAGGCUUUAACUCACCCACCUGAAAAGCUAAAGCUGAGCUGGAAGUUAUGAUUAUGUAUUUAUUUAGUCUGAAAGAAGGAACAGAAGAGCCUUUUAUAUAACUUGAAGAGUGUAAAGGAGCCAAUGAUAAAAAACAUUGCCCUGAACUUUUCCAAAGCACCAUAAAUCUCUCUGUUAUGAUUCUCCAGUUGUUGCCAAGGUAUCAUUUGUCUUUUUGUUUUUGUCUUCAGAUAGACGAAAACAAACGUUAACGAACUUCCUUCUGUUAGUUUGUGUAUCUGUGAUCCAAGGCUAUAAAAAUGCUACUCUUUCAAGUUACUCCCAUCAUUUAAAAUACACCUGAUGCUUAUUUUGUGGUUUCUCAGUAAUAUUCUGAUUUUAAUUUGAUUGCUUUUUAUGUUUGUGUAUUUUCCCAUUCAAAGCUGUUUUUUCUCCCUUCCCUCCCUUUUGUGUUUCUCUCUGUCUCUGCUGAUAUUUUUUGCAUGUUUAGAUCAUCUCUCUACUGACCUUUUAGUGGCUUAGCAUUUUGUUGCAAUGCACAAGUGAAGUUGGGAAACAGAGCCAAGUGACAAGCUGUGAAGUAACAGCUCAGCCUUCACAAAGCAAAUGUGCUUUGUGCACUUCCUUGCCAGAGCAGAUGUGGCCUUGGUGGACUGUGGGGAGCAUCAUCUCUCAGGUAAAAAUAAAUUACUAAGAUUAGGACCAAAUGAUGCAAAUCCUUUCAUUUGCAAACAGAUCAUGAACUGGCAGCCAUGUGGAAAGAAGACUAGACUGCGAAUCACUUAGGAUCCCACCCUCGGUUUAGUCUAGAAUACUCUGCGAAUCAGCUUUUUGGCCCUAGGUAGGAAAGAGACAAAUGGAAGCAAAAUAGCAAAAUGGUGAAGAGGAGGGUUCUAGAGGCAGAGAGCCCUGCAGUCCUGAGUCCUGAGUCCACCGUUUAACAGAGUGACUUUGCUCAGCCUGUGGAUUAUAAUGAAACUUGCCUGUAAGUUAUAGGAUCCAGUUUUUUAGGUGGUAGCAACAUGCUCAAGGAAGAUGCAGCCCCUUCCUCCAGCCUGAGAGAAUAAAGCAUCAUUGGCUUAUGCCAACCAUGGCAAUCCCAUUCCCCUUUUCUCAUGAUUGAUUUGGGAAUGGGCAAGUGACCCAGUUCUAACCAAUGAGACGAAAGAAAAAGUCUAUUGGUCAGCUUAUCUCAGAAGAUUUUUGUUUCCUGCUAUAAAGAGAAACAGUAAGUUCCUUCCUGCCUGACUUAAAUGCAAUUGUGUGCAAACAUGUUACUUGGAGCUACAGCAACGAUUCUGUGACCAUGAGGCAAUAAGCCAAGGACAAAGGAUAGAAUAGUGAAAAGACAGAGUAUUGGAUUUUUUUUAUGAUAUCAUUGAACUGCUGGACCAAUGUGGAACCAUCUACUUUUAGUCUUUCAUGAUUUGUGAGAUGAUUAAACAUUUCUUUUUUUUAGCCAUUAUUUCUUUUCUGUUACUUGCAACUGAAGACAUCCUACAUAAUACAAACACUAUCCAACUUGGAUUGUAAUUUAUCUAUUUUCAGAUCUGUGUGUUCUGUCUUACUGAUUUUUGUAUUCUUAGCACUGAGUAUAAGGCUGCUACUUAGUAAGACUUCAAUAAAUGACUGUUUAAAAAGGUCUUAGAGGAUUUAAAAAAAAUUCUGAAGUUGCUGAAAUAUGAAGACCAGGAACCAAUUUCAGGUUCUAUAAAUUUCUCGCUUCCUUCACUUCUGGAGUAGUCUUCAUUUCUGUCUGAUUCUACCUUUACUAAAAUGAAUGAAUGAUUGAGAAAUACGAAAAAUGGCUGGUAUAGUGGCUACUGCUGAGAAGUAUCUCUUGGAAAUUCCCGGAAAUUCCAUCAGUCACAUUCAGACCUAACUCUCUGAUGAUCAAUGUUUCUGAACUCAAACCAGUGUACAUAAGCAGUGGACUAUUUAAAGUGGUAUUAGCCUAGAAUAUCUAGGACCCAUGUUUUAUGCAUUCAGUAAGCGUUUGUUUAAUGUCUGUUAUCUACCAGGCACAUUAUUAUGCAUUGGGCAUAUAGAGAUGACCAACCACACGGCCUCAAUCCUUGAAAAGCUUACAGUAACCAAAUAGGGUUAACGGCCUAAAGAGAGGUAAUUACAAGUCUUACACUCAGUCUUCUUAGCAUAGUAUGGUGCUACCUCUGAGUUAAUUAAGAUAACAAAAUUCCUAGAUAUAUAUCUUUGAUGAAACGGUUUCCAUGAAAACUUUCCAAGUUUGGUCCCUCCCCGGCUGAGUUCAUUUUGGAAGGUGACUUUCUGCUCUCAUCACCUAAGGUCCUUAACACGUAUCCUGUGUUCUCCGGAGGCACCCCUUGCCCAGAGUGUGCCCUCUGCAUGGUUCCCCCAGAACACCUAUUUCAAAGGAAAAGAAGUUGGAUCAUUCAGUGAAGAUUUGGGGGGCCACUUUUCUACGUGGGAGGAUUAUGAGUAUUACCUUCCUCCCCUAUGUAUUAGUAAAUAUAAAGAAAACAUAAAUUAACCCCCUUUCUGGCUGGGCACGGUGGCUCACGCCUGUCAUCCCGCACUAUGGGAAUCCGAAGUGGGCGGAUCACUUGAGGUCAGCAGUUUGAGACCAGCCUGGCCAACAUGGCAAAACCCCGUCUCUACUAAAAUAUAAAAAUUAGCCAGAUGUGGUUGCACACAUCUCUAGUCCCAGCUACUCGGGAGGCUGAGGCACAAGAACUGCUUGAGCCUGGGAGCAAGGGUUGCAGUGAGCUGAGAUUGUGCCAUUGCACUCCAGCCUGGGUGACAGAGCAAGACUCUGUCUCAAAAAAAUAAAAUAAAAUAAAAAUAAUUUAGACCCCAUUCUUCUUAGAUAACCAUGACUUCUGAAGGAGGUCAGAGCUCUUGUGCUCUGCAUCUCUGCUCCAUCAGCCUCAAGGCCACCUUUCAGGUCCACAUGAAAUAUAAGUGCACAAAGGCACCAGACUUAGCAUUAUUAGUUUCCCCCACUGGUCUGAUUUUUGUAGAAAUUGCCAGGAACUGAUUUUCUGCCCUUCCUUCCUAACAGACAAGCCUUCCAGCCCUCCCUGACACAGCUCUUCCCUAUCUCCUACUCUCUGGUCAUCAAGCUUUUAGAGAUGCCCUGGCCUUCUCUAGUUGCCCCAGCUGUAUUUUUUCUUCUUGGGAAUGCGUUGAUUCCAGAGCCUGACUGGGAAUAAAUCUCAGCUCCUCCAUUUAGCAGUUAUGGGAUUCAAGUUACUCUUACUCCCAGGGACUCAGUUUCUGCACCUGUAAAAUGGAGAUUUACCACCUUUCGUUCCAGCAUUACUGAUAUUGUUUGGCUCUGUGUCCCUACCCAAAUCCCAUCUCGAAAAUUAAUCCCUAUAGUCCCCACCUGUUGAGGGUCCUGGUGGGAGGUAAUUGGAUCCUGGGGGCGGCUUUUCCCAUGCUGUUCUCGUGAUAGUGAGUAAGUUCUCACGAGAGCUGACGGUUUUAUAAGUGUUUGACAGUUUCUCCUUCACACGCUCUCUCUUCUGUCUCCUGCCAUCAUGUAAGAUGUGCCUGCUUCUCCUCCUCUCAUGAUUGCAAGUCUCCUGAGGCCUCCUCAGCCAUGAAGAACUGUGAGUCAAUUAAACCUCUUUCUUUUAUAAAUUACCCAGUCUUGGGUAUUUCUUUGUAGCAGUGUGAAAACAGACUAAUGCAAUUACCAUAAUGGGCUUUCAAUUGAUGAACUUGCAUCACUGACUCCUCAACACGCAGCUGACUUCCUACUGUAAUUGUUCACCAUGCAGACAUUUGUGGAGCCACAAGCAUAACCAUCAUGGUAUUUAAGAUUCGUUCUGUAUCUGGAUUUAUGCAGUUUAUGAAAAAUCAUCAAACUGUCCUUAUUAUUGGUGUCUUUUUUCUGUAUAUAUGUUAUGCUUCAAUAAAAUAUUUACUUAAAAUUAUUUUAGGUAUGUUAAACUCACUACACCAGACAGGGCUUACCUUCUCACUCUGCUGUCUUUAUCCCUCUCUCUAAUUAAAAGGAUUACAC